Molecule: long non-coding RNA, 554 nt
Filed under: Mytilus galloprovincialis (Mediterranean mussel)
Lineage: Eukaryota; Metazoa; Mollusca; Bivalvia; Mytilida; Mytilidae
Source: RNAcentral
UGCAUUGGUAUUAUUUAGGUCUCAAAUCAAAAGAAAGGAAAUCAAGAAUCUGCUUAAAUUUUGUCAAAUGACCUUUUAUGAGCUAUUAAGCCUUGUAAUGUUAAAAGAUAAAUAGGUGUUAUGGGGCAAAAUAUUUUACCUUGUAUGGUAUGGAAAAACACUAAGGAGUCCGAACAUUUGACACUCAUUCCAAAACUUCACCUGAGUACAUCCUUAACAUUAGUUGAAUUGACAAAUGAGUUGUGUCAGAUAGAAAUUGACCGUAUGCAGACGAAUAUCAAUACAUCUGUGUCGAAAAAAAAAACCUCCAUGCAAAGUCUAUAAUAAUAAUUGAUUGAAAACUGAGUUGAUAGGACCCUACAAAAAAGACUAAAAUUCAUCUUUUAUUUCAUAUUUGAAUGUUUGAAAAUCAAACACAGUCUUACACAUGUACAAAAUGUAAAUGAAUAUGUGUACUUGCAUUAUUAUAGGUCGAUUUCUUUCCAAUGCAGCUCAAAUGUUGAUACAAUCUGUACAUUUUAGACUAAAAUUAAGAUCAGAAUUGUCAGUUGUAA